GACGAACGCUGGCGGCGCGCCUAACACAUGCAAGUCGAACGAGCGAGAGAGAGCUUGCUUUCUCAAGCGAGUGGCGAACGGGUGAGUAACGCGUGAGGAACCUGCCUCAAAGAGGGGGACAACAGUUGGAAACGACUGCUAAUACCGCAUAAGCCCACGACCCGGCAUCGGGUAGAGGGAAAAGGAGCAAUCCGCUUUGAGAUGGCCUCGCGUCCGAUUAGCUAGUUGGUGAGGUAACGGCCCACCAAGGCGACGAUCGGUAGCCGGACUGAGAGGUUGAACGGCCACAUUGGGACUGAGACACGGCCCAGACUCCUACGGGAGGCAGCAGUGGGGAAUAUUGCACAAUGGGGGAAACCCUGAUGCAGCGACGCCGCGUGGAGGAAGAAGGUCUUCGGAUUGAAAACUCCUGUUGUUGAGGAAGAUAAUGACGGUACUCAACAAGGAAGUGACGGCUAACUACGUG
RNAcentral lists this ribosomal RNA (466 nucleotides) under uncultured bacterium. RNAcentral's name for it is "partial 16S ribosomal RNA". It matches the Rfam family "Bacterial small subunit ribosomal RNA", at positions 28 to 507 of the family's 1533-position model. The record is from RNAcentral.